AUGGUGCUGGUGAAGAUGUUGAUGGAGACUGAUCCCCUCCUGAUGAGAGGAUCGAUGGUGAUGACGAUGGUAAUGAUUUCCUCCUCCCGGAGGGAUGCUUCCUCGGCAGAACAGCUCCAUUGGAGCCCUAGAUUGGUUCCGCCAAGGUUCCGCAUCGUGGCGGCGGAGAUUCUUCCCGAAAGCUUGCUUAUGAUUUUUUUUCCAGGGCAAAAGACUUCAUAUAGCCAAAGAUGGGCACCGGAGGCCUGCCAGGGGGCCCACGAGGCAGGGGGCGCGCCCAGGGGGGUAGGGCGCGCCCCCACCCUCGUGGAUGGUGGGUGGCCCCCUUCUGGUGCUUCCUUCGCCAAAUAUUUUUUAUAUAUUCUAAAACUAACUUCUGUGAAGUUUCAGGACUUUUGGAGUUGUGCAGAAUAG
This 414-nucleotide ribosomal RNA is filed under the name Triticum aestivum (bread wheat). RNAcentral's name for it is "partial small subunit ribosomal RNA". The record is from RNAcentral. Lineage: Eukaryota; Viridiplantae; Streptophyta; Magnoliopsida; Poales; Poaceae.